AUGGAUCACAACCCGGAGAUCAUUUGCUGGAAUGUGCGAGGGUGGAAUAACCCUACCAAGAGGAAGGUAGUUAGGGAGUUCCUAUCGUCGCUAAGAGUUGACCUAGUUUGCUUGCAAGAGACUAAACUUGACAUUGUAGAUCAAUUCAUGGGAAUGCAAUGUUUAGGGCCAUCUGUUGAUGGCUUCGCCUAUUUGCCGGCUGUGGAGACCCGUGGAGGUAUUUUAUUAGCUUGGGACACCACACGCAUAUCGGUGGAUAGCAUCCACCUCGAUACCAACUUCCUAACUGGCAAAGUUCAUCAGAUGGACGACAAUGAGUGGUGGAUCUCGAUGGUGUAUGCGCCGCAAGGUGAUGAGCUGAAAACUCAAUUCCUCCAAGACUUGCAUGAAAGAAGGUCGCUUUGCCAGGGCCUUGGAUGUGCCUCGGAGACUUCAACAUGA
Molecule: ribosomal RNA, 441 nt
Filed under: Triticum aestivum (bread wheat)
Lineage: Eukaryota; Viridiplantae; Streptophyta; Magnoliopsida; Poales; Poaceae
Description: partial small subunit ribosomal RNA
Source: RNAcentral